RNAcentral lists this non-coding RNA (72 nucleotides) under human gut metagenome. The record is from RNAcentral.
UGAGCCGUGUGAUGGGAAACUAUCACGCACGGUUCUUAGGGGGGAAGCGCCCGGAAGGGCGGCGACCCACCC